Molecule: long non-coding RNA, 1357 nt
Filed under: Astyanax mexicanus (Mexican tetra)
Lineage: Eukaryota; Metazoa; Chordata; Actinopteri; Characiformes; Acestrorhamphidae
Description: lncRNA (ENSAMXG00005019095.1)
Source: RNAcentral
GGAUGAGUCACGAAACACGCUAAGGACACCUCAGCUUUAUUUAUAAUGUUUUUAAUGUUGUUAGACAGGUGUAGAAAAGUCGUAGGUUAAAUUUUUAUAUAUUAAAAAGCGUCCAAAAACCGGUAAGCAAGGUUUUUUUGGGGAGUUUUCUGUGGUUGCCCCCCUGUGCUACAACAGCCCAGAGGUGAUAAGUGCUACCUCCACACGGCGCAGCUAACGGGCUGAGUGAGCGCUCGGCUGGUCGUGAGCGAGAUGAAAUUAGCCAGGUUAACUAACUAGUUAGUGUUAGCUUAGCUAACUAGUUAGCGUUAGGUUAACUAACAGCUAUGUUUUAGUUGUACCGUGGUGUGCAGGCGGGGAAGCUGUCGGGUAGUGUUGGGAAGACGUGUAGAAAGAAAGAGAGAGAAAGAGAGAAAGAGAAAGAGAGAGAGAGAGAGGUAAACGCUUUACUACAUGCACAUAAAUAGCUCUAACUAUAACAAGCGUGUGCCGCACGCUAGCCGUUUGUUAUUAUUAUUAUUAAGGCUAGGCUUAGCUAGUUAGUUCAAUAGCCGCAGUAGGCUAUCGUCCAUUUAUCAGUAUUGACAUUCUGUAUUUAUAAUAAAUUCGUGACUUAACGUUAGCUAACGUUAACUAACGUUAGCCGUGCCUCAACCGAGCUUACCGGUGGCCAUCACAAACACAGACAGCCAAGCUCAGCUAAGCUACCCUUCUUCUAGUCUUAUUAUUAAACAGAAAACAGUGGACUUUGGCUUCAUUUCUGCUUUGAAUGAACGCGUAAAUAUACGGAAAAUAACGAUAGCGCAGCGGAGGAGAGAGGAAAGAGGGAAGAAGGAACAGUGAAAAGAGAAGGAGAAGAGAAAGAUCGGUCUGUUUCUGCAGGCAUGGACUGUUUGGCUGUUCUUUGGUGCCUGUAUAUGUUGUGAUUGUUUCUGGACUCUGUGGUCUCUGUCAGUGAAGCACGCCAAGCCUCGAGCACCUGACGCUCACCGGAAUCCCCACGAAUACGACACUCAAUACAGUAAGAGUGUGGCAUUGAGCGAGAGAGAGCGAGGUCCCUGUCUGCCCACCCGUGUGCAGUACGAGGGGGAGGGAGGCCUGGUCUUUGCUGAGGUAAUGAGGAAUUCCCUUUUGCUGAGUGCGUCCAGCGUUCGCUCUGGGGUGGACGAGGAGGUGGAAGGUGGGGGUGGAGCCCUGGUGGGAAGGGGACAUCAACUUGCCAUACUGUUGGUCACCCACAUUGUCACAGACUCACACUCACACACACACUGGGCAGGGGAAGCUGUGUGUGUGUGUGGGUCAGUGUGGGGGAGUUGAGAACAGUGAGGGUGUAGGUUUGAUGGAUUAAAAGCAAUAA